UUAAAAGCAUAAACGCCGGUUAAUUACGGAUCGUUACAAAAUUAAAUAGAGAGCGUUCAAAAGAAAUGGUUCAAGAUUUUUGGGUUGUGAAACACUUACUCAUAAAUUCUUUCGAUUUGAAAGGCAAUUCAAAUUAGUUACAGCAAAAUCAUAGUUCCGGUAUCAUUAAUAACUAACUUGCUUCUAUUUGUAAAAGGUGUUUGUUUCGUUAAAGGUGUGAAAGUCAGUGAACAAUAAAGCAGGAAGAUGUGUCUACAAUGAUAAAGUUGUACUAAUACUAGACAUUACAAAUAGGAGGAAGUUAGUCCAUUGUAAUAUUGAAACUGACAGUCAUUAUUGCUUUCACAGGACUGAGUUUUAGAUUUAUUUCUAUAUAGAUGGAUAAAUCAAUUGUUCUACAAAUCUUGAACCCUUUUUCUAGAUAUUCCACGAUUAUUUUAACUGUCAAUGAGUACAAUCAUAAUCAUAAAUAAUCAUAAAUGUAUAGAGACGAAAAUAAUGAUAAUAUUAAAAAUUAAAGAUAGUGAUUGGUGUAAACGAUAAACGUAAAGAUAUUUCCAAUUAAUUUCGAGUAGAUAUAAUUUAAAAAAAUGGAGUGCGUUUUAAAAGAUUAAUAAUAAAUAGAGAGCACAAACGUUUCUCACAUCCAGGAUUAUAAUCGUGGGGACAGGGUCCUUUAAAAAAAACGAUUUCCUGACCGGACAACCCCUAAAAACGGUGAUCUUUCUGAACCUGUAGACCGCGGACAGAAAAAGGGAUGCGAAACAGAAUUAUCCCGCUGAAUUUGUUCUAUAUUCUGAUGUAACUGAUCCACUCGAUAGAGAUUACAAUAUUAUCUGCGAUGGAUGCGAGGAUCGUCAACGUGGAAAUCAAUCGGACUGUAUAUGGGACAGAAGUAGAAAUGAAAGUAUCAUAGAGUAUUCGUCGGAGAAUAAAGUCAAUGUUGCUACAGAUAUAUCUGAUACGUCCAUGAAAGAAGUUUCCCGAUCGGUUGCUACUUAGAACCAUGAAAGUUGAAUAAAAACAGGAAUCAAGUGAUCAAGAUUUAUUAAAAAAAAAUAUCAAAUAAGCAAUAUCGACAAGCAAUAAAAAUCGAGUAAUAAAAAUAAAAAUUCGAGGAAUUAAAAUUUAAUAUAUAUCAAGAAAACUUUCGAUGUUUAUACUUUUUCUUGGUACUUCACUGUUUACAUAUUACACAUAAUACCAUAAAUUUAUAGGCAAACAGAUAAUUAUUUCGAUAGCUAAAGAAAGAAAUUGUACAAUUACGAGUGAAUGAGUGAAUUGCAUAAGAGCGAGGUUUAAUACUGCUUCUUAAUGAAGACGAAUAAGACUCUCGAGUUAGACAAGCGUAAUCAAAAUACGGAAUUAAUGAAGUCCGUUAAUUCAUUGGAUAAAACAGAAUUCCAGAAUUUGUUACUUCUUUAUAGUUAUUAAAAGCAACCAUUUACUAUGACGUUAUACAUUUGAUAUAGAAGUAAUUUUAGACGCUCUGUUAAUGUAUAUUUUUAUAACAUGAACAUAUAAAAUUUAUAAAAAAUUUUAUCGCAAGAAUAAACUAUCUAUCGUUAUAAUAAUAGAG
This is a long non-coding RNA of Bombus terrestris (buff-tailed bumblebee), 1579 nucleotides long. RefSeq lists it as uncharacterized. The transcript is spliced from 2 exons. The record is from RefSeq and is a predicted model, not a curated record. NCBI's taxonomy places the organism in Eukaryota, Metazoa, Arthropoda, Insecta, Hymenoptera, Apidae.